ACAGUAGAAGAAGCUGUCCGCACGUGACAAACAGUUCCAAAGUGAGCGCCGAGGAGGAACGUGACGCAAGAGACGGCGCUGCUUCUUUGCACAUGUUCUACAGGGCCGUGCUGAAAGAGCUGGGUCUUGCUGCCUGAGUGUCCAAGAAGAAGAGGGACUGUAAAGAUGUGCCAGGCUGUGGAAAGAACCCGCAGAAAACCCACUGGGACACAAGGAGAGCGACACUUCUGCUACACAAAUUCCAGGCAAACUAGCUGUGGCAGAUUUCUCUAAAGAAAACCUUCAACCUGGAGCUUACGGAGAAUAAUACAACUUCAAUGUGAAAUUACUGGAGAGAAGACUGAAGUGAAGACCUGUCAUGGAAACUUGUCCUAAAUAUAGACCCAGACAAUCUCGAGAAGCAGACGGGAGUACGAAAACACACUGCCACGACAAUCCUGGACAAUUGUUCUCCGGGUUUUUACAAGUUCUGCAGAAGAAGACGCACAACAAAAAAAGAACCCAGACCUGAUUUAAACUUUGGCUGCUGUGGGAAGGGCCUGAACGGCGGGGUGCACACUUCACAGUUUGACUCUGAUGACCAUGGCCGUUCCACCCUCGUCAGUCUUCAGUGCUCUCAGGUGUCCUGAUAGUAGCCUGGAAAAUACCAA
Molecule: long non-coding RNA, 650 nt
Organism: Solea solea (common sole)
Lineage: Eukaryota; Metazoa; Chordata; Actinopteri; Pleuronectiformes; Soleidae
Exons: 7
Source: RefSeq, a predicted model, not a curated record